RNAcentral lists this ribosomal RNA (516 nucleotides) under Lactiplantibacillus plantarum. RNAcentral's name for it is "bacterial SSU rRNA". It matches the Rfam family "Bacterial small subunit ribosomal RNA", at positions 48 to 529 of the family's 1533-position model. Lineage: Bacteria; Bacillati; Bacillota; Bacilli; Lactobacillales; Lactobacillaceae. The record is from RNAcentral.
GCUAUACAUGCAGUCGAACGAACUCCUGGUAUUGAUUGGUGCUUGCAUCAUGAUUUACAUUUGAGUGAGUGGCGAACUGGUGAGUAACACGUGGGAAACCUGCCCAGAAGCGGGGGAUAACACCUGGAAACAGAUGCUAAUACCGCAUAACAACUUGGACCGCAUGGUCCGAGCUUGAAAGAUGGCUUCGGCUAUCACUUUUGGAUGGUCCCGCGGCGUAUUAGCUAGAUGGUGGGGUAACGGCUCACCAUGGCAAUGAUACGUAGCCGACCUGAGAGGGUAAUCGGCCACAUUGGGACUGAGACACGGCCCAAACUCCUACGGGAGGCAGCAGUAGGGAAUCUUCCACAAUGGACGAAAGUCUGAUGGAGCAACGCCGCGUGAGUGAAGAAGGGUUUCGGCUCGUAAAACUCUGUUGUUAAAGAAGAACAUAUCUAAGAGUAACUGUUCAGGUAUUGACGGUAUUUAACCAGAAAGCCACGGCUAACUACGUGCCAGCAGCCGCGGUAAUACGAG